Molecule: long non-coding RNA, 728 nt
Filed under: Pan troglodytes (chimpanzee)
Lineage: Eukaryota; Metazoa; Chordata; Mammalia; Primates; Hominidae
Description: lincRNA
Source: RNAcentral
GGUGGCAAAGCCUGUGGAGUACUCACCUACCUGCUGCAUGAAGGCAGCAUGGAGGGACUGUGGUGGAUUAUCUGCAAAGAUGGCCAAAAUUCUCUCAUCCCUGCAGGCACAUACAAGGUUGUUGCAUGGCAUAAGUAAAAUGACAGCCAAAGGAUACAUGCAACUUUUCAGGGACAAAGAUCUGUGCAGCAUCGACAGUACUGCCUAAUGAGGUUUCACCAUAAUGAAGUAUUACAACCAGUUUACAGACCAGAAAACUGAGACACAGGAAGGGGUGGUGACUUGAGCAAGGUGCAUCAGCUGGAGUUUGCAGUUCACCCGCAAACCUCAGCGAUCCAAGCUCCCCUGGAUGACCAUCACUCACCAAGAAAAGAACAAUAACAGGACCUGUUUUGCUAAUCCAGGACUGUUCUCCAGCACUAACUCUAAAUAAUCCCUUCUGCUAGAGUCCACUUUCUGGAACCUGUUGCCUCCGUUUUCAACGUUUCCCAAACUUGGUCCGUUGUGUGAGCUGGCUGAUAAAAGUUCCAGGGAGAGGACAUCUUACUCUUAUUGGAUCAUGCACAGUGCCUGAAGCAUUCUGUUGCAUGUAGAAAUCAGUAAAUUGCAGAUGUAAGAUUCAAAACCAGACUUCACAUCUACCGACUUCAGUGACCCUGAAAUUUGUUCACAGAGAGCAUUUAACAUAACUGUCUUCAUCAUCUCCUUCUCUACAUUAAAAAUUAUGG